This 319-nucleotide ribosomal RNA is filed under the name uncultured eukaryote. RNAcentral describes it as "partial 18S ribosomal RNA". It matches the Rfam family "Eukaryotic small subunit ribosomal RNA", at positions 1470 to 1796 of the family's 1831-position model. The record is from RNAcentral.
CCCUUAGAUGUUCUGGGCCGCACGCGUGCUACACUGACGCCUACAGCGAGUACUUCCCAGCCCCGAGAGGUGGCUGGUAAUCAGCAAUAGGCGUCGUGAUGGGGAUAGAUCUUUGGAAUUAUGGAUCUUGAACGAGGAAUGCCUAGUAAGCGCAGGUCAUUAGCCUGCGCUGAUUAAGUCCCUGCCCUUUGUACACACCGCCCGUCGCUCCUACCGAUUUCGAGUGGUCCGGUGAAUCUUUCGGACUGCGCGCGGCCUCGUGCCGUGUCGCGGAAAGUCAGGUAAACCUUAUCACUUAGAGGAAGGAGAAGUCGUAACA